Long non-coding RNA from Anoplophora glabripennis (Asian longhorned beetle), 1433 nucleotides. RefSeq lists it as uncharacterized. NCBI's taxonomy places the organism in Eukaryota, Metazoa, Arthropoda, Insecta, Coleoptera, Cerambycidae. The transcript is spliced from 2 exons. The record is from RefSeq and is a predicted model, not a curated record.
UUCGGCACGAGGGCCGAUCCGGCUCGCCGCCCGUUUGCAGCGCUCUCGGCACUCACACCAUGUAACUUACUUGCUUCUUGGGUAGUUCUAACUAAGGAUGGAGCCCUGCAUGACUACCGCCGAGGGAGGGAGGACGUACCGUUGAGCUGAGACGCAGCGACGUCCAACAAACCCAGACCACACCGGGACAUCUGAAUCUUGCGACCUGGAGAUCCACCUGCCCCCAGUGAACGCACGCCCCUGAUCAGGGCCGCCUCUGAGUCUCUUGGACGGCGGCGUGGAAGCCCCCCAACCCGUUUACUGUGUCGAAACGGGUUCACGGGAGAACGAUACAUCUUCCCUUUAUGAAAUAAUCGCCCCGGAGCCCAGUGGCGUAGCAUAGACGUCAAUAAUAAAUUUGUAUAUAUGGAAAGUUUAUUGUAGAUUUUUAUAGGCUAAGCUAAGGGUAUGGUGCGCCACUGGCGCGGUCGACAUCCAAGGCUUCGGCUAAGGUUUAACGCUUUACUAAUACAGACUUCACACAAAAUUCGAUUGUUUAAUGCUGUAAUGGAUUAUCUAAUAAAAACCCUCUGAUUAGUUUAAUAGGUAUAAUUAUAUAAGAAGGUUUAACAUUAGUAAAAAGUUAUUUUCAAUACGAAAGUAUUAUAUUGCAUGUUAUUUUAUAUAUACGAUUUUUGCGUACCUUCUUAUACUCUCGUAGUAGUAAGACAAAUAUACGUAAGCAAGGGGUUAGUCCGUCUUUCUCACACAGGGAUCAGUAGCCCACAUAACAAGGUGCAGAAUUUUAAAUAGGUAGCCGUAGGAAAAGUAAAGAGUAGACCUGUAACGCAGCCACACAUUUGUUGAAUCCGUAUCCAACUUCUACAGUGAGUAAUCUUAACCGGAGUCUUUGCCUUGGUAAUUAAAAACUAAGUAGAAAAGAUGAGGCAGCACCUGAACCGCUGGUCAGAAAGCAUAUGAAGAAGACGAAGAAGAAAUACAAGAGGAAGACAAAUGGCUUGAUCAGGCAGAAGAAGAAGAGUUGUAACUGACUUCAUAUUAUAAAUGAACAGUAAAAAAAGUUCUGUAUAAUUUGAGUACACUCGAAUCGAAAAAAGCCAAUAUUGGAAACUAAUGUGUUUUUUCUAUUUUCGAAUCUGGCACGUUUUUUAUCACCAGGGCAAAGGGUUCCACAACCUAAAGUUUGGCUAGUGACAUUACCGUAGCUGUCUAGAUAGAUUGUUUCCCCCUCUAUACAAGGGGUUGUCAAACAUUAUUGUAUUCAAUAGCGGAUAGUGGCCUUUUGAAAAAUAAAUGAUACCCAUGCCUCUAUACUAUUUAUAUCACGUAUUAUAUCGGUUACUUAUUACACCUAAGGCUACAUUAAGGUUGUAAUACAGCCCUUUGUACAAUGUAUUUACUCGAAUAUUGGAAAAUAAAUGGUUUGAGAAUUG